Molecule: ribosomal RNA, 89 nt
Filed under: uncultured eukaryote
Lineage: Eukaryota
Description: partial Eukaryotic large subunit ribosomal RNA
Rfam family: Eukaryotic large subunit ribosomal RNA
Source: RNAcentral
AAGGGAAGUCGGCAAAAUAGAUCCGUAACUUCGGGACAAGGAUUGGCUCUAAGGGUUGGGUGCAAGAGUAAUGUUUUUUUAGCUAUUUC